GGUUUGGGGAAGUUUCUCCCAGAGGCUGGUGUUUCGCAUCCUCAUCAUGUAUAACCAGCGGCACCGGGGAUCCAAGGGGUGGCCGGUCCUCUCCGCAUCCCUGUUCUUUUCCCCGCCGAGGAUCUAUCUGGUCAGUGCUGCUCUCAGGCACCUGUCUUUCCUCUCCGUCCCGCAAUGGAGCCGAAACAUGGGAAUAAAAGAAAUUAAAUAGUACAAGGAGAUCGGGUGUCUGGGCAGCGUCUUGGAUAAAACCGUCCACUACAGGCCUAUUGCAUCUUUGUAAAACUCACCAGCAUCCAGAAGCUUCCUUACACGCAAAUAGCUGAUGGUAAGCCUCAUAACAGAAGCCUUAUCAAGAUGCGAGCUCACAUUAUGAGGAAGUGGCAACUGAUGAGCAAGCUCGUAAAAAACUUCAGACUCUUUACUUCUCCGAGAUCUGGCUGCAUCUCUAGACUUUUCUUUUCGACGUUCAGAACUUAUUCUAUUUAACAAAAGAGGAAGAGGAGAGGAGAGAAAAACAGAACACUUAUAUAAGUUAGUUUGCUGUUGCUUGGAUAUAAUUAAUUUUACACUUUCCUGCUUUCCACGGAACAAUUAAAAGAUGCCAUGUGGAUUAUUUUAUAUAGAGAUUUGUUUAGUACAUGAAUGUACAAGUAAGAAUGUAAAAUACAGGUAUACAAAUUUCUGGAUUACUGAAGACAUAAGGAAUUCUCACAAGAGGUCCAAGAUGAUGCUUUACUUUUUAAAAAGAUUUUAUUUAUUUACUCAUGAGAGACACAGAGACAGAGGCGGAGACACAGGCAAAGGGAGAAGCAGGCUCCAUGCAGGGAGCCCGAGGUGGGACUCGAUCCCAGGUCUCCAGGAUCACGCCCUGGGCUGAAGGUGGCGCUAAACCACUGAGCCACCUGGGCUGCCCCAAGAUGAAGUUUUAGAUCUGUCUAGAACAGGGUAUUUCCUCCCUGGAAUAUGCAAUUAGGAUGUUUUUGUUUUAGCCAAAAUCUAAAAAGUAGCCUAUGUAUGUAAGGCUGCACUCUCACAGCCAUUCAGAAGUAGUCUCAACGUAGAGAAAUCACCACAAAGUCUAGUGAAACUAAAGUUGUACAUAUUAACUUGAAAACAAGAGUUAAGCCGACUACAGACUGCAGGUACAGACUGAUUUUUGACUUGUUUCUUUUGACUCCAGUAUUUUCCCAUCCUCUACCCUACUACAUGAGCAAUAUUGACUGCUAUAAUAAGUUACCAUUUUCAGGUUGCUUCUUCCCUUAUCAGCCCCUAUUCUAUUACUGGCACAACAGGUACCAAAUAAAGGCAGGAGUAUAGGGGGAAAAAAAAAAAGAUGUGGCACAACGUAAGAAUUCAAAGAAAUAGGUUAACAAAGAUUAAUAAAGGUGUCAAAACAAUGACAUAUCUUUAGGGAACUCUUCCAAGAAUAAAGUCAGAAAGAUUUUCCUAAGUCACAGCAAGCAGAGACAUAUUCCUCUGCUUAAUUGUGUGGCAACAUCUAUGCCUCCUGACCCAGCUGGAGGUAAGCAAGGCUUAAACCUGGUUCUGUCCUUAGUUUCUUCUUUAAUAGCUAUUGCUUAUUAAAACCUACUAUGUGUCAAGCUACCAAAUACCAGAUGCCUAGUUCUCUCCUAAACUGUAAAUAGGUUAAAUAUUAUUCCUUUUUACACAUGAGGUUAUACAGUAGGUUAAAAACAGCCAUUAUAUAGCAGAUGGAAUUUGAACACAGUUGUUUUUUUACUCCCAUGUCUUUGUUUGCUCUUCCAGUGUUUUAUCUUAAGGAAGAAUGUUAUUUCUAGCUCAAAUACUCAGCUGCUUUCCUAUGACCCUCAACCUAAUUCUGUUAAGUCAAUUAUUUAUUAAAUGUUGAAAAUAGUCA
Canis lupus familiaris (dog) is the source of this 1882-nucleotide long non-coding RNA. RefSeq lists it as uncharacterized. The transcript is spliced from 2 exons. Lineage: Eukaryota; Metazoa; Chordata; Mammalia; Carnivora; Canidae. The record is from RefSeq and is a predicted model, not a curated record.